UAUCGUACAACCGAGGCGCGGAGGGCUGUCGCUGACUUUUGCCGUGCACGCCCGAAGCGCUCUCACCACAAUAUCCAUCUCACCCAUUUGUGCAUCAUCGCGUGGGUCCUGCUUUUUGGCUCGCUCCAAGGAGGGGGGCUCGCGUUUUCACACAAAACACCCUUUUAAUGCAGUGUAGAAUGUUCUUGCGAUGACUCGCAAUAAAUACAACUUUCAACAACGGAUCUCUUGGCUCUCGCAUCGAUGAAGAACGCAGCGAAAUGCGAUACGUAACGUGAAUUGCAGAAUUCAGUGAAUCAUCGAAUCUUUGAACGCACCUUGCGCCCCUUGGCAUUCCGAGGGGCACACCCGUUUGAGUGUCGUGACAUUCUCAAAAAGAACCCUUCUCGGUCUUGCGAUCGGGAAAGGCCUCUUUUUGGACUUUGGAGGUUAUUGCUGGUCCCCCCUUGAUAGCCAGCUCCUCUUAAAUGAAUUAGUAGGGACCACUUUGCCGACCCUAGACGUGAUAAGAUGUUUCUGCGUCUUGGGUAUUCGCUCUGUCCUUUGGAAACCUGCUUCUAACCGUCUUGUCAAAAGACAGCGUUCGAGCCUUUCUCGUUGAUCGGGCAAGGCUUGACUUGACGAACCUUGACCUC
Molecule: unclassified non-coding RNA, 635 nt
Filed under: Russula sp. 11 CG-2012
Lineage: Eukaryota; Fungi; Basidiomycota; Agaricomycetes; Russulales; Russulaceae
Description: sequence contains ITS1, 5.8S rRNA gene, ITS2
Rfam family: 5.8S ribosomal RNA (bases 209-362)
Source: RNAcentral